GGGCGCUUGCCCAUUUAAGCAAAAAAGCCAGCGCUAGAGCUCUCGUCCAUCCUUAUUACAAAGGAUAGGAAGAGAACCGGAGGGAGAAGCGUCUGGGCGAGCGGGAAAGUAGCGAACAGCGGCCCCUGGGGGGCGACUCCCUGACGGGAAUUUGGGGAACGCGGCGCGCGAAUAGACAGAGCGAACGGGCGAGGCGGCGGGGGACUGUCGGGGAAGAGGGAACCGCUUGACCGGACAUUCAACCAAAUUUCGGCCGCGGGGGGGGGGAGGCUGGGACGGUACUGGGACAAAGCGGCGAUAAGCAGGCAACUGCCCGAAGCAGUCCGGGCAGCGGAAUAGGCGGCGAAGUCGCCUCACGUGGGGCCACCUCAGGGGCAACAAAGCCUGACUCGGUUCAUAUGGCGGGAAAACAAAAGGCUGCCCCCCCCCCUCGAGCGCGGGGCGAGAGCCAAGUACCUUUUCUCCGGUCACGACGUGCAGCCCUUCCCGCACUUUGGCAAAGGACCCCUCGCCCAACUUCCUUCCGAUCAGCUAAUGAAAAAUGGAGCCCUUCUGUAUUCCAAAGGAAAGUGAAAAAAGCCCAUCGGACCAUUUUCAUGAAACAGAUCAGUGGCACCGAAACAGACAGAUUCUAAAGUAUAUCAGAUGGGGGAGAAUGUUAACUUUGCCCCAAUUCCUAUUCAAUGCAGCAGUCAUCUACGCAUGCACAAUGGAUGCCUAAAAUGUAAACACCUUGCCUUAACUAUGGCUUAUGGUUUCAAAUGGUUUGGAAGCUGUUUUGAGGAAAAGCACAUAAUAAAGAAACUACAGAGUAAAGAUGAAUUGUGGCUAACUUCUUGUGUACUGAGGUUCAAACACCAGCAGUAGGAGAGCACUGGAGUCUUGAGUAAAUACACAGCCUACCUUGCAAGCAGAAACAAGCUAAGUACAUUAGGAUGCCAUUUAUUUUGCAAUGACAUGGUGUUUGAACUCAGAUACGUGAUGAAACAGAUACAGGCAAAAGGGCAUUGUUGGGUACUUAGAAGAUGCGGAGGCAUAAAAUUUGCAUAUGCUCAUUAAUAUGUAUAGGUGCAAAUUUAGGCCAACUUUCAGAGGGGAGAAAACAAACUGGCUCUUGCUCUCAGGGCAUACUCUCUAAGCUGUUGGGACUUAUUAUCAUGUAAGUGUAUAGGAGUGCAGCCCUGUGGCACCAUCCUGUGCGUGUUUAUGCAGCAUUAAAUCCUGAGCUCAGUGGGAUUUACUCCCUAGUCAUUAUAUUUAGGGUUGAAUUGCAACUUAAGUGCUUGCUUUUUUUUACAAGUUCUCUGAUAAAAUUCUUAACGCAUAUACCAACCCAACUGAAAUAUUUAGUAUUAAAUGAAGAGGAUGUAUAAGAUACUGUGUUAGUUAAGCAAAAUGAAUUACGUAUGCAACCUUUUCCCAUUGUAUUAAUCUGGAGCUCUAAAAUUGGAAAAUUCAUUUUUUCUGUCUUCCUUUGU
Molecule: long non-coding RNA, 1478 nt
Organism: Podarcis raffonei (Aeolian wall lizard)
Lineage: Eukaryota; Metazoa; Chordata; Lepidosauria; Squamata; Lacertidae
Exons: 3
Source: RefSeq, a predicted model, not a curated record